Non-coding RNA from Pelobates cultripes (western spadefoot toad), 3279 nucleotides. The record is from the annotation of a GenBank genome assembly. Lineage: Eukaryota; Metazoa; Chordata; Amphibia; Anura; Pelobatidae.
CAAAAGGUUACAAAAAGGUUACAAAAAGGUUACACAAGAUACAUAAAAGAGGAAGUAGUUUCUGCUGUUACAUUCAAUAAUCUAAUCUUACAAAAUAUCACAUAUACAUUGUGGUUAGGCAUUUCCUGAUACAUAGAAACUGUCAUAGCUUGUGACUUCCUUUCAAUUAUGUUUUGCAAGCAGUUCUGAAAUACUGACAGAUUAAUUGUUUAACCCCUUAAGGACCAGAUUUCUGGAAUAAAAGGGAAUCAUGACAUGUCAUGUGUCCUUAAGGGGUCAAUAUUCCUUCAUUUCCCCCUCUUUGAGCAAUAUCUUGCUCAUACCCUAUUUAAGGAGUCCUGGUCAGACAACCAGCCAUCUGCCAUGGUAUAUUCAGGAUUGCUAGCCAAUCCUGCAGGUCUUUCAUUAUGUCUUCGGCCACUAUUCCCAUAGCAUAGGACUAGGCAUCUGACCAGUACCACAAACUUAUAGAUCUGUAUCAGCAUGUUCACCAUUGCUUCGGUUAUGUGUAUACAUUUGGAGAUACUCAUCAUAGCAAGCUGGGGAUUUUACAGGAACAGUGUUGCGUGUAUGUUUGUAAAUGCAGAAUACAAUAAUCUUGAAAAUAGCAUAAACAAGUAGAGCAAGGAUCAGAACCAUAACAAUAAGUAUUGCAAUAUUCUUUAGCCAGUCUAGGAUACUGUCAAACUUAAACAUAUCUGCCCAUGGGUGAUCAAUACCUGAAUUCCUCUUCAUUUCUAUGGACAGGUCUUCUAAUUUCUUUAUAUCUAGGGUUACUUUACCAUUAGGGCCAGUGUUCUCUGCAAUAUAGGUACAACAAACACCGGAGUCAAGUAAUUUACAGACUCCUCCCUUUUCUGCUAAAAUCAUAUCAAGGGCCAUUCUAUUCUGGAAAGUCAUUUGUGAGGUAGCCUGUAAUUGUUCAGCAAGACCUUGUAAUGCAUCUCGUGUAUAAUUUACAAAUCUUUGCUGAUUAUAAUAUAUAUAAUUAAUCCAGUUAACAUUCUUGUUAGCUGUUAUAAUGGGAAAUAUUGAUUCAAAUCCUGCUGCCACCUCGUCUCUAGCUUUAAAUUCAUUAGGGACCCCUCUUGGAAUACCAAUGGCAUCUAGAUAGAUAUGUGGGUCGAAACUACCUUGUGGGGAUUCCCUUUUCCUUCUUGUGGAAUCAGUUACAACCUUAAUGUGGGGCUUUAGAGGAUUAACAAGAGUUUGUCUAGAGGUGAGGCUUUCCCAUUUUGAGGAGUUCCAUAUAUCUUUUAACUGGAUUUUUCCUCGAUCACCUCCAAUACCUCCUCUUAAAAAGGUACUGAGAAUAUAAAUACCUUGAUCUCCAGGACUGGGGUUUUCAAUAUUUAAGGUAAAUUUCAUGGAGUGCCCAGUUUGCCCUAUAGGGGUACAUGUACCUGGCUUUGUUAGGGUCAUUCUAGUCAAGAGGGACUUCCCAUUCGUAUACUUUUUAUCUAAUGCAUUCUGUGGCUUAUAACCCCAAUCUGUCCCGGUGUUCCAUCCAACUGAGCCCCAAUAAUCACAAUUGUUACCCCUCUUUGAGCAAUAUAUAUUGCUCAUAUCAUCGGUUAACAUUCUCCCAAGACAGAGAAAUUUCCACAUUAUGGCAUUCCCAAGCAAUCAUGUGGUCUACAAGAAACAGAAACUCAGCAGAAAAAAAACAAAACAAAAACACUUAAUACUUUUGCAGACAGAUAUAUAGAAAAUGGAUGUUUAAGACAGAAUGGAACUUGGGCUUAUAGCAACUAUAUUUUUGCACAACCAGGACCUUGCGUCCUAUAUCUUUUAACCAUUUCCCUAUUCCAAAAGUCCAGUCAAAACCAGUCAUAUCCUCACGCAGUUCCUCAAAACAUGGGAAUCCAUCCCUGGCACACUCAACAUAUAUCAAAAACACACAUAGUACAUCCAUCCCUGGGUCAGCUAACACUUCCUCUCUCUCUGGCUAACUCUACAAAAAUAAAAAUAAAAAUAGUUCAAUAGUUCAGCAUAGUUCAGAAAAAUAGAAUAAGUCUUUCACAGAGUAUAAAGAAAUCAGUUUAGACACCAGACAUUUUGUUCCAUAAAAAUGGCUAAGGGUAGCAAUAUGGCUGACAACAAGACAAUGUCAGCUUCCAUAUAGUUCUUAGUUCUUCUUUUGUUUGCUGGAUUUUCACCACAAAGCUCUGUGCAACACCCCAAUGGUUGAAAGGGUUAUUACAGAACCAGCGGCAUUAGACAGCACUGCACCUUCAGGACUUUCCAGGUUCUUGCGUGCAAAGUUUAUGUCCUCAUAAAUAAGUAUCUCAGUUUCUUCGGCCUGCAUGGAUAAUGACCAAACAGACGUAAUUGCAAAAUACUUAUUGCAUGGUCAGCCAGAGAGAUUGGUGUGUAGUCCCAGAAAUCAGGCGGCACAAACACUCCAGGACGGUCUCUACAAUCAUACAAACACAAGGAUCAAUACAACAUAAAUUAAUUACCUAGGCUAAAACUUAAAUUAGAGAUUAAGGUUAAACCCUUAAUUUGUGUAACAUGUACUUCUCUUAUAUUUUAUGCAAUCUGUCUUCUAUAAAGUUUUACAUAAUAUCCCUUUGGAAUGCCUUUGCACGGAUGAGAGUAACACUCACUCUAUAGAAAUCCUUGUUAGGAUGAAUAUUAAAACACUAACAUAUACAUAUGGGGAUAAUUCCCAAUAAAACUCUGUUCCUAAACUGGAACCUUGAUUUGAUAUUCAAAAUUAAUUACUUUAAUAAUCCCGAAUAAUUCAAUACUCUUGGAUUAACACCUAAACCUAUAUAAAAUAUUACAAACAUGAACCAUCUGUGUAUUAUGCUGUGGUUGUUGGGUGUGGGUAUAGGUUGGAAGCUAUGGUUGGUAUUGAGGAAUCUGUGGGGGUGGGUUUGGGCACUCAUUUUUCCAGUGACCCUGCUAUCCACAAUUAGAACAGUGUGUUCCACCAAUGCUGAAGUUGUUACAAAAGUUAGACCCUUUGACCAAAUCCUCUACCUCUGCCUUUAUUCCAUAUGCAGGAUGGGAUUACCUAACUCACAGCCCCCUCUUUGUGUACCACACAGAUAUAAUAUUAAUAAGCUUUUAAAGGCUGUAUGGAUAGUUAAAUUUUGUAUAUAAAGCAAGGUUGUCUAGGGGUAUAUACAUCAACAAUGAAAGCAUAGCCUUCAUAUAGGGCUUGCAAUACUGACAGUCUGUGUCAUGAGCAUAAUGCAGACAUGCGGUUAGGUACUUUUCCAUUGUUAUAAUAUAUUGAAAACACUAAGACCUUGCACAUUUUUAAAACGC